GUAAUUUAAGUUACAGAAGUACACAAACUUGCUGCCAGAUUGUUGUUGCCUUAAAUACGAAUUUCCGGCACUCCUUCCCGGGCUGAUUUCCCAAUAAUGACCUUUAGUCUGACUAUGUUUGUCUGCUCCCUGCCUGCUUCCAUUGUGCUUUGAGCCCCUCCUUGGACUGUUUAUAACCCGUCGCAGGUGUCACCUACGUUUUGUUGAGUGGUCAAAGUGGACGUUUUGGGACAAAAUGACACAUCGUCCAUCUGUGGGUCAACUUUAAAUUUCUGUCCCUUCUCUCCACCUCAGCCAGCUGCUCUUCAUACAUUCACAAGGCCAACCCAAGACUUGGAAACCCUUCAACUCAGCAAGCCAGCUGCUCUUCAUACAUUCACAAGAACAACCCAAGAUUUGGAAACCCUUCACCUCAGCAAGCUUAGCCUUCCCAAUACACUGCCACGGAGGAACUAUUAACAAGUCCGUUUUUUCUUAUGCACUUGAAGAAACCCAGU
Molecule: long non-coding RNA, 497 nt
Filed under: Takifugu rubripes (torafugu)
Lineage: Eukaryota; Metazoa; Chordata; Actinopteri; Tetraodontiformes; Tetraodontidae
Description: lncRNA (ENSTRUG00000026853.1)
Source: RNAcentral